Molecule: transfer RNA, 73 nt
Filed under: Camelus bactrianus (Bactrian camel)
Lineage: Eukaryota; Metazoa; Chordata; Mammalia; Artiodactyla; Camelidae
Also listed under: 2 other names
Rfam family: tRNA
About the family: Transfer RNA (tRNA) molecules are approximately 80 nucleotides in length. Their secondary structure includes four short double-helical elements and three loops (D, anti-codon, and T loops). Further hydrogen bonds mediate the characteristic L-shaped molecular structure. tRNAs have two regions of fundamental functional importance: the anti-codon, which is responsible for specific mRNA codon recognition, and the 3' end, to which the tRNAs corresponding amino acid is attached (by aminoacyl-tRNA synthetases). tRNAs cope with the degeneracy of the genetic code in two manners: having more than one tRNA (with a specific anti-codon) for a particular amino acid; and 'wobble' base-pairing, i.e. permitting non-standard base-pairing at the 3rd anti-codon position.
Source: Rfam by way of RNAcentral
GAGGGUAUAGCUCAAGUGGCAGAGCGCAUGCUUAGCGUGCACAAGGUCCUGGGUGCAAUUCCCAGUGCCUCCU